This 428-nucleotide long non-coding RNA is filed under the name Salvia miltiorrhiza (redroot sage). Its description in RNAcentral is "long non-coding RNA (SMIL_LNC014400)". The record is from RNAcentral. Lineage: Eukaryota; Viridiplantae; Streptophyta; Magnoliopsida; Lamiales; Lamiaceae.
CCAACAAUUUCAACAUCUGCAACUUCACUAUUCAUUUGGAGGCUUGAUCUUUGCCUAUAAAUUGAGGCCUUCACAGCAGUAUGAAGAUCAUCCCCAACACCCCCAGAAGCAAAGUGUUAUUUGCUAGAAAGAGAGAGAAAAAUCUUGUGAGAGAAAACUUCAGUGUGGAAGUUAUACACGAGUGAUAAAAGUGAGUUGAGAGAUAGCCUCUGCGUAGGCAGAUACAAAAUACAGUGUAGUAUUUUUGUUGUACUCCUCCUUUUGAGAUUCUCUAAUAUAUUGGUGUGGGUCCGUGGACGUAGGCAGUUUGGCCGAACCACGUUAAAAAUAUCGGUGUCAUUUUUAUUCUCGUUUCAUAUCGGUCGAUAUCCAAAAUAUUGCGUCACACUAGAUCCCGGGCGGAAUUAGUUGCGUCUAAUUUCCUAACA